UCCCUUUACCCUCACAGCCGAGUUGUCGGUAUGACGCUUAUUUGGAAUUUGGCGCCAACUGAAACGCGCAGAUGUGAAGUCGAAGUUGCCAAGUCAAAAAGUAAUUUGUUGCUUUCUGUCGUUGGAGUGAACUGUGCCAAAAUACAUUAAUUUCUUCCUCAAUACAGAUUCAAAUAUAGUUCAAAACUGAGUGAUCUAACCGUAAUGAAAUUUACUAAUUUUUUAAGGUUUUAAACAGCAGAAUAACUUUUUAUCAAAAACGACAAAAUUUGACAACAGAGCGGAUCAGCAUGGUGGGUCAAAGCAACAAAGAUUACCCUUCAUAAUAUGACGUCAUUUAGUUCAGUUCUCGUAGUUGUGAUUGUGAGGUUGUGUUCGCUUGUCUCUAUGGCUAUUGGCUUGAUCGUUGUGCUUGCUUAUCAUUCAAAGUUAUCAUCAACGUGCUUUCGCGGAGCUUUCGUAGUCUUUUCGCAGAUGUUUCGUGCAAAAUAAAAGUAAAUAUUACCCAUCACCGUUCGCGAAUCGAACUCGGCCAGUCGGUUUCAAUAAUGUCGUCCCUGGAGACGUUGUUCGCGGUAUUUAUUUCGAUCCUAAUAACACCAUUUCUGUUCUUCUUUCUCGGGAUCGUGUGUUUAGCCUCGAUCGGGAAAUCAAUUGGAUUACGACGUCUCUUCGCAAGUUUCCUGGUCAAAGUCUUCGAGGUAAGGCACUUCACUUGGAAAUUUUUGCUAUGUUACUGGAAAGAAAAUUUCACCGCGCGAUUUCACAAAAGAGAGGUUAGAAAAUACAGCAAUAAUUUCUUUUUCAGGUAGUUUGUCUUGUUGAUAGUUGCUUGAAAAGACUUAAGAGUUCUUGCUGCCACUCAUAUUAUACCUGAUAAACAAUAACCAAUGAACCCUGAAAAUGAACUGAAUGUAUUGUUCCUCAUAAAGGAACCUUUCACUGCUCAGUAAUUUAAUUUCAUUUGCGCAAUAAGGUGCAUGAGGUUCUUCUUUUUUAACUCUGAAAAUUGAUGAUUUAUUUCUAUCAAGUUUAAUAAUCAGUCGCAACAAUUCUUACUUAUUUUAAGACGUUUCAAUUGCAUAUCUAAUUAUCUUCCUGUUUCUUAUCACUCCCAAAAUUGAUGUACCUUUCGGCUUCUGUCAUUUCCGAACCUUAUGUUGAACACUGAAAUUUUUUUAUUGAGUUUUUAUUUAGAUUUAAAGCGUCAGUUCUUGUCGACAUAACUUGGUUUUCUGAGUUAAAUACUUGCGGCUUUAACUUAAAGUCAGUUUUUUGUAUUAAAGAAACGUUGCUUUUUAUGGUUUUUUUUUAAACCGAAACUUAACGAUAGCAGAACGACGUUUUUUCAAGUAAAAAAAGUGAUGUUGAUUUGAAUCCGCACGGAUUUAAGUUUAAAAAAACCAAAUUUUGUCGACAAGAAACGAUGCUUUAAGUCAAAAUAUAAUGCCUCAAGAAAAUUUUAUUCGGUGAACCUUCUUUUUGUAUCUCAUACUCUCAUAAGUCAAAAACCCUCUGGUGCAUGAUACAUGCUUUUGAGCCUAUAAAAUAUGUACCAUUGCUACUUAUUUACUUCUUUUUUUUGUAAUUUUUGAUUACCGACUAAUCUGAGCGGCGACUUAGAGUGUGUAGCGAUACUUGCGAACGAAGAAAAAUUGUGUUUCGUUAUGUGUAUAUCUUUGUAUAACGAGUGCCCCCCCCCCCCCCCCCUAGUUGGAACUAUCUCGGCCGCGAACAAUAAUUUGGCGGUCAAAGCACAGUGCGCGACGAAAACUAAUCAAUAUCAACUUCAAAUGAAAGCUUCGUUGUCAUUUCGGCACGAACUUUAAGUAAAUAAAUCACGAAGGGUGUUUAGUAAGCGUAGAAUCAUUUAGCUCGUUACUGAACACAAUUGCGGUGAAUGUCGUCGUGCACGCGGUGUUUCCUUUGAAAGGCGUUACCAUGUGCUCUGCGUGCUAAGGAAGAACCCCGUAUGAGCCUUUGGACGUAGGCAAAUCUCCGUAGAUAAAAUACAAAUUUUCAGGAAAAUCUAUGAAGAUUGUUCUUUGACAUUUUCGAUUAAAUUUUAUUCGCGACCAGGUCUAAACUAUCCGAAAUCAAGAGCAAAUAUUUGUAACUCUCUUCAAAACUUAACAUUUACUGGAGGAAAUUCGGCAACUCUCGAAUGUUCACGGCGUUUUUCCUGAGCACGGCAGUGCUUGACUGUUAGACAUUUUGGAGGAAAAUCUAGAGUGCGUCUGACUCCGAACCUAUGGCGCACACUGGCGGGUAGUCACGCUUUUGCGGCAAUAAUUCCAAAUUGUUGAAAUGCUUAACACAUGGAAGUAGUAGUUUGGUAUGAUCACUUGAUUAUCGGAAAUCAUUUUUAAAGUUGUAAACACCAACCCCCCCCCUUCACAAUUUUUGAGCAACUCGCACGUGAAAUGGAUUGCAAUAAGUAAAUGAUGUCGAAACUGUCCUGACUAAUACUGUUAAAAUGUGUAUAGGAACGAGAACAAGUAACUCAUUGCCAAAAUACAAUUUUUUAAAACCAUAAAUUGUAUAGGCAUUGGAAGUGAGCCACUUUUUAAAUUUUAACUCG
This 2581-nucleotide long non-coding RNA is filed under the name Bemisia tabaci. Its description in RNAcentral is "lncRNA ENSSSA3NGG011055". The record is from RNAcentral. Lineage: Eukaryota; Metazoa; Arthropoda; Insecta; Hemiptera; Aleyrodidae.